GAGCCUAAACCCCCCCUUCAAACAUAAAAGUCUGGUCCCAGCUUUAAAAUCAGUUUUUUCUUAACUUACACAUGCAAGUAUCCUCAAUCCGGUGAGUAUAUCCUUAUCCCAUUGCGAAAUAAGGAGUUGAUAUAAGGCACUAUAACUUGCCCAAAACAUCUAGCAAUAGCCACACCCACAAGGGACACAGCAGUGAUUAACAUUAGUCAUGAGUGCCAACUUGAUCUAGUCAAAGAAAUACAAGGCCGGCAAAAAUUAGUGCCAGCCGCCGCGGUUACACUAUAGGCCUAGACUGAUCUUCAUCGGCGUAAAGCGUGGUCAGAGCUGCCUACAAAUUAGAAUUAAAUCUAAACUGAACAGUAAAAUGCCUGUUUUCUAGAAACUCAUACACGAAAGUUAUUCUACUAUAACAACUUGAACCCACGAUAGCCAAGACACAAACUAGGAUCAGAUACCCUAUUAUGCUUGGCCCUAAACCUUAAAUUACCCCCCCUUCGCCUAGGAACUACGAGCAAUGCUUAAAACCUAAGGGACUUGACGGUACCCCAUAUUCACCUAGAGGAGCCUGUCCAAUAACCGAUACUCCCCGUUCAACCUCACCACUUCUAGCCUUUCAGCCUGUAUACCUCCGUCCCAGCUUACCAUCUGAAUGCAUCAGUAAGCUCAAUCGCCACCCACCAGUACAUCAGGUCGAGGUGCAGCAAAUGAAGUGGGAAGAGAUGGGCUACACUCUCUAUUCUAGAAAACACGAAAGGUCAAAAUGCAACCUAACCCGAAGGUGGAUUUAGUAGUAAAAAGAAGAUAGAGCAUUCUUUUUAAUUUGACACUGGGGUGUGUACACACCGCCCGUCACCCUCUUCAAAUUAUAACAAUAGUACUUAACAAAACUUUUUACCUAAAGAAGAGGCAAGUCGUAACAUGGUAAGCGCACCGGAAGGUGUGCUUGGUAA
Molecule: non-coding RNA, 950 nt
Filed under: Ischnocnema aff. oea PT-2018
Lineage: Eukaryota; Metazoa; Chordata; Amphibia; Anura; Brachycephalidae
Source: RNAcentral